Molecule: ribosomal RNA, 165 nt
Filed under: uncultured Chlamydiales bacterium
Lineage: Bacteria; Pseudomonadati; Chlamydiota; Chlamydiia; Chlamydiales
Description: partial 16S ribosomal RNA
Rfam family: Bacterial small subunit ribosomal RNA
Source: RNAcentral
AGCUGCAGUCGAGAUCUUUCGCAAUGGGCGCAAGCCUGACGAAGCGACGCCGUGUGAGCGAUGAAGGCCUUCGGGUUGUAAAGCUCUUUCGCUWRGGAACAAGAGAGAUARAAUGAAUACUCAGKUAGAUUUGAUGGUACUUGGUAAGAAGCACCGGCUAACUCC